UCCGUAGCUGGACUCUUAAGUCUCUUGGGAAAUCUACCGGCUUAACCGAUAGGCGUUCAAGGGAUACUGGCAAUCUAGGGACCGGAAGAGGUGAGAGGUACUCCAGGGGUAGGAGUGAAAUCCUGUAAUCCUUGGGGGACCACCUGUGGCGAAGGCGUCUCACCAGAACGGCUCCGACAGUGAGGGACGAAAGCUGGGGGAGCAAACAGGAUUAGAUACCCUGGUAGUCC
Molecule: ribosomal RNA, 230 nt
Filed under: uncultured bacterium
Lineage: Bacteria
Description: partial 16S ribosomal RNA
Rfam family: Archaeal small subunit ribosomal RNA
Source: RNAcentral